GAACUGCUGAGGAGUUCCACAAUAGGACGAAACGGUCGUCCAGUGC
This is a non-coding RNA of Schistosoma mansoni, 46 nucleotides long. Lineage: Eukaryota; Metazoa; Platyhelminthes; Trematoda; Strigeidida; Schistosomatidae. The record is from Rfam.